This 492-nucleotide ribosomal RNA is filed under the name Fritziana fissilis (split-backed frog). Its description in RNAcentral is "partial small subunit ribosomal RNA". It matches the Rfam family "Bacterial small subunit ribosomal RNA", at positions 794 to 1522 of the family's 1533-position model. Lineage: Eukaryota; Metazoa; Chordata; Amphibia; Anura; Hemiphractidae. The record is from RNAcentral.
GCCCAGCCGUAAACUUUUAAUUACAUCUAAACCGCCUGGGAACUACGAGCAAAGCUUAAAACCCAAAGGACUUGACGGUUCCCCAUAUCCCCCUAGAGGAGCCUGUCCUAUAAUCGAUGAUCCACGUUUAACCUCACCAUUUUUAGUAUAUUCAGCCUGUAUACCUCCGUCGCCAGCUCACCACGUGAGUGAAACAUCAGUGAGCUAAACGGUUACCCCCCAUACGUCAGGUCAAGGUGCAGCUAACAAAAUGGGAAGAGAUGGGCUACACUUUCUAACUUAGAAGACACGAAAGACUAUAUAUGAAACCUAGUCGAAAGGCGGAUUUAGUAGUAAGAAGGGACCAGAAUGCCCUUCUUAACCUGGCACUGGGGCGCGUACACACCGCCCGUCACCCUCUUCAAAGCCAAAUAACAGUUCUUAACCCCUGCCUGCGUCAAAGAAGAGGCAAGUCGUAACAUGGUAAGUAUACCGGAAGGUGUGCUUGGAAAC